UUUCUCUUUUGAGAAAAAGUAAUGCGUGGGUAACGUACCCCUGGGUUGGGGACACUCCCGUAACUGGGGUAAAUUCCGAGCGACGUAGCGAGGGGGCAUCUUCUUGCUACCAAAGAUUUAUCGCCCGGGGAGCGGCUCACGUCGUAUUAGCUGGUUGGUGGGGUAACGGCCCACCAAGGCGAAGAUGCGUAGCGGGUGUGAGAGCACGACCCGCGCCACUGGCACUGAGACACUGGCCAGACACCUACGGGUGGCUGCAGUCGAGGAUCUUCGGCAAUGGGCGCAAGCGUGACCGAGCGACGCCGCGUGCGGGAUGAAGGCCUUCGGGUUGUAAACCGCUGUCGUGGAGGAGGAAAGCGCAAGCUUGACCUAUUCCAGGAGGAAGCACGGGCUAAGUUCGUGCCAGCAGCCGCGGUAAUA
RNAcentral lists this ribosomal RNA (420 nucleotides) under uncultured Gemmata sp. RNAcentral's name for it is "bacterial SSU rRNA". It matches the Rfam family "Bacterial small subunit ribosomal RNA", at positions 88 to 525 of the family's 1533-position model. Lineage: Bacteria; Pseudomonadati; Planctomycetota; Planctomycetia; Gemmatales; Gemmataceae. The record is from RNAcentral.